This is a long non-coding RNA of Fundulus heteroclitus (mummichog), 347 nucleotides long. RefSeq lists it as uncharacterized. The record is from RefSeq and is a predicted model, not a curated record. NCBI's taxonomy places the organism in Eukaryota, Metazoa, Chordata, Actinopteri, Cyprinodontiformes, Fundulidae. The transcript is spliced from 5 exons.
UGGUAAGAGAGUAUAAUAUGUCUGGUGCAUGUUUUGAUUAUGGUUUUAAUAUAAGUAAAUGGAAGAUUUUGUUUACUGAUCUAUAAACAACAGAUGCUGUUUGGGAGAUACAAUCAACAGAAGACACCAUUAAGGGAAUCUGUGAUGUUCAGAAAACUGCAGAAGUCUGUUUGGUGAUAGAAAAAAUCCCGGAUUAUGUUGAACCUGAGAAAACAAAGGAUGAUGGUGAUAUUCAAGCAUCUACAGAAGUGGGUCCCCUGAAAUCCAAAAGAAUAAGAAGAGUUUGGGGAAGGAAUAAUGUAUGAAGUUGUAAUGUAACAACGAUCCAUUUUGAAGUGGAGCAGGAG